CCUACGGGGGGCUGCAGUCGAGAAUCAUUCACAAUGGGGGAAACCCUGAUGGUGCGACGCCGCGUGGGGGAAUGAAGGUCUUCGGAUUGUAAACCCCUGUCAUGUGGGAGCAAAUUAAAAAGAUAGUACCACAAGAGGAAGAGACGGCUAACUCUGUGCCAGCAGCCGCGGUAAUACAGAGGUCUCAAGCGUUGUUCGGAAUCACUGGGCGUAAAGCGUGCGUAGGCUGUUUCGUAAGUCGUGUGUGAAAGGGGCGGGCUCAACCCGCGGACGGCACAUGAUACUGCGAGACUAGAGUAAUGGAGGGGGAACCGGAAUUCUCGGUGUAGCAGUGAAAUGCGUAGAUAGCGAGAGGAACACUCGUGGCGAAGGCGGGUUCCUGGACAUUAACUGACGCUGAGGCACGAAGGCCAGGGGAGCGAAAGGGAUUAGAUACCCCUGUAGUC
Molecule: ribosomal RNA, 446 nt
Filed under: uncultured bacterium
Lineage: Bacteria
Description: partial 16S ribosomal RNA
Rfam family: Bacterial small subunit ribosomal RNA
Source: RNAcentral